AGUGAACGCUGGCGGUAGGCCUAACACAUGCAAGUCGAACGGCAGCACAGUAGGAGCUUGCUCUUACGGGUGGCGAGUGGCGGACGGGUGAGGAAUACAUCGGAAUCUACUUUUUCGUGGGGGAUAACGUAGGGAAACUUACGCUAAUACCGCAUACGACCUACGGGUGAAAGCAGGGGAUCUUCGGACCUUGCGCGAUUGAAUGAGCCGAUGUCGGAUUAGCUAGUUGGCGGGGUAAAGGCCCACCAAGGCGACGAUCCGUAGCUGGUCUGAGAGGAUGAUCAGCCACACUGGAACUGAGACACGGUCCAGACUCCUACGGGAGGCAGCAGUGAGGAAUAUUGGACAAUGGGCGCAAGCCUGAUCCAGCCAUACCGCGUGGGUGAAGAAGGCCUUCGGGUUGUAAAGCCCUUUUGUUGGGAAAGAAAAGCAGCAGGUUAAUACCCCGCUGUUCUGACGGUACCCAAAGAAUAAGCACCGGCUAACUUCGUG
This 492-nucleotide ribosomal RNA is filed under the name uncultured bacterium. Its description in RNAcentral is "partial 16S ribosomal RNA". It matches the Rfam family "Bacterial small subunit ribosomal RNA", at positions 29 to 507 of the family's 1533-position model. The record is from RNAcentral.